This 372-nucleotide ribosomal RNA is filed under the name uncultured bacterium. RNAcentral describes it as "bacterial SSU rRNA". It matches the Rfam family "Bacterial small subunit ribosomal RNA", at positions 29 to 418 of the family's 1533-position model. The record is from RNAcentral.
AACGAACGCUGGCGGCAUGCCUAACACAUGCAAGUCGAACGGGAUCCUGGCUUCGGUCAGGUGAGAGUGGCGGACGGGUGAGUAACGCGUGGGAACCUGCCCAGUGGUGGGGGAUAACUGCGGGAAACUGCAGCUAAUACCGCAUGAGCCCGAGAGGGGAAAGAUUUAUCGCCAUUGGAGGGGCCCGCGUUCGAUUAGGUAGUUGGUGAGGUAACGGCUCACCAAGCCGACGAUCGAUAGCUGGUCUGAGAGGAUGAUCAGCCACACUGGGACUGAGAUACGGCCCAGACUCCUACGGGAGGCAGCAGUGGGGAAUAUUGCGCAAUGGGCGAAAGCCUGACGCAGCGACGCCGCGUGGGUGAUGAAGGCCUU